CGGUUAAUUCCGAUAACGAACGAGACCUUAACCCGCCUAAAUAGCCNGGCCGGCUUUCGCUGGUCGCCGGCUUCUUAGAGGGACUGUCAGCGUCUAGCUGACGGAAGUUUGAGGCAAUAACAGGUCUGUGAUGCCCUUAGAUGUUCUGGGCCGCACGCGCGCUACACUGACAGAGCCAGCGAGUUUUUCACCUUAGCCGGAAGGUCUGGGUAAUCUUGUGAAACUCUGUCGUGCUGGGGAUAGGGCAUUGCAAUC
This 255-nucleotide ribosomal RNA is filed under the name uncultured fungus. RNAcentral's name for it is "partial small subunit ribosomal RNA". It matches the Rfam family "Eukaryotic small subunit ribosomal RNA", at positions 1316 to 1591 of the family's 1831-position model. The record is from RNAcentral. Lineage: Eukaryota; Fungi.